CCUACGGGAGGCAGCAGUGAGGAAUAUUGGUCAAUGGGCGGGAGCCUGAACCAGCCAAGUCGCGUGAGGGAAGACGGUCCUAUGGAUUGUAAACCUCUUUAGGCGGGGAGCAAUGCCGGGCACGCGUGCCCGGAGGGAGAGUACCCGCAGAAUAAGCAUCGGCUAACUCCGUGCCAGCAGCCGCGGUAAUACGGAGGAUGCUAGCGUUAUCCGGUUUUAGUGGGUUUAAAGGGUGCGUAGGCGGAUUUUUAAGUCAGCGGUAAAAUGUCCGGGCUCAACCCGGGCCGGCCGUUGAAACUGGGGAUCUUGAGUGGGCGAGAAGUAUGCGGAAUGCGUGGUGUAGCGGUGAAAUGCAUAGAUAUCACGCAGAACUCCGAUUGCGAAGGCAGCAUACCGGCGCCCGACUGACGCUGAGGCACGAAAGCGUGGGGAUCGAACAGGAUUAGAUACCCUUGUAGUC
This 460-nucleotide ribosomal RNA is filed under the name uncultured bacterium. Its description in RNAcentral is "partial 16S ribosomal RNA". It matches the Rfam family "Bacterial small subunit ribosomal RNA", at positions 338 to 795 of the family's 1533-position model. The record is from RNAcentral.